RNAcentral lists this ribosomal RNA (1439 nucleotides) under uncultured bacterium. RNAcentral's name for it is "bacterial SSU rRNA". It matches the Rfam family "Bacterial small subunit ribosomal RNA". The record is from RNAcentral.
AGGGUUUGAUCAUGGCUCAGAACGUACGCUGGCGGCACGCCUAAUACAUGCAAGUCGAACGAAGUAGCAAUACUUAGUGGCAGACGGGUGAGUAAUAUGUAGGUAUCUUCCCUUUGGUGAGGAAUAACACGAGGAAACUUGUGCUAAUACCUCAUAAGUCUUUACGGAGAAAGCUUUAUGCGCCAAUGGAUGAGCCUGCACUUGAUUAGUUUGUUGGUGGGGUAAUGGCCUACCAAGACUUUGAUCAAUAGCUGAUUUGAGAGGAUGAUCAGCCACAUUGGGACUGAGACACGGCCCAAACUCCUACGGGAGGCAGCAGUAGGGAAUCUUGCACAAUGGGGGAAACCCUGAUGCAGCGAUGCCGCGUGAGUGAAGAAGGCCUUUGGGUUGUAAAGCUCUUUCGUCGGGGAAGAAAAUGACUGUACCCGAAUAAGAAGGUCCGGCUAACUUCGUGCCAGCAGCCGCGGUAAUACGAAGGGACCUAGCGUAGUUCGGAAUUACUGGGCUUAAAGAGUUCGUAGGUGGUUAAAAAAGUUGGUGGUGAAAUCCCAGAGCUUAACUCUGGAACUGCCAUCAAAACUUUUUAGCUAGAGUAUGAUAGAGGAAAGCAGAAUUUCUAGUGUAGAGGUGAAAUUCGUAGAUAUUAGAAAGAAUACCGAUUGCGAAGGCAGCUUUCUGGAUCAUUACUGACACUGAGGAACGAAAGCAUGGGUAGCGAAGAGGAUUAGAUACCCUCGUAGUCCAUGCCGUAAACGAUGUGUGUUAGACGUUGGAAAUUUAUUUUCAGUGUCGCAGCGAAAGCAAUAAACACACCGCCUGGGGAGUACGACCGCAAGGUUAAAACUCAAAUGAAUUGACGGGGACCCGCACAAGUAGUGGAGCAUGUGGUUUAAUUCGAAGAUACGCGCAGAACCUUACCAACACUUGACAUGUUCGUCGCGACUUUAAGAGAUUAAAGUUUUCGGUUCGGCCGGACGAAACACAGGUGCUGCAUGGCUGUCGUCAGCUCGUGUCGUGAGAUGUUGGGUUAAGUCCCGCAACGAGCGCAACCCCUACUUUUAGUUGCCACCAUUCAGUUGGGCACUUUAAAAGAACUGCCAGUGAUAAGCUGGAGGAAGGUGGGGACGACGUCAAGUCCUCAUGGCCCUUACGGGAUGGGCUACACACGUGCUACAAUGGUAUCUACAACAGGAAGCAAAACCGCGAGGUUAAGCAAAUCCUUAAAAGAUACCUCAGUUCGGAUUGCACUCUGCAACUCGAGUGCAUGAAGCUGGAAUUACUAGUAAUCGUGGAUCAGCGUGCCACGGUGAAUGCGUUCCCGGGUCUUGUACACACCGCCCGUCACACCAUGGGAGUUGGUUCUACCUUAAGGCAAGGUUUUAAACCCUUGACCACGGUAUAGUCAGCGACUGGGGUGAAGUCGUAACAAGGUAGCCGUA